CAACUUGUUUUGCCAUAUUUGCCCCAGUUAUUAUCUUUCUGCUUCCCUUUCUAUCUCCAGAAAAAGAAAUAUUAGAAAGGGAAAUCAGAUCCUUUUAGCCUUAAUACAUUGUUGAUCUAUGCGAGAAGACACAAUUCUGGGAUUUUUGUAAUUCUUAUACGGCAAACUCUUUUUUUUUAUGUGUGCGUUUGUGUCAACGAGAAGAAAAAAGAUGGGGCAGGGGGGGAAGCUUCAAGUUCUAUCUCUGGGAAUCAAAAUGGGUGCUAUAGGGACGUAACCAAUGUGAUUUUGAAUGUAUAUGAUCUAACUCCUAUCAAUAAUUACUCUUAUUGUCUUGGUUUCGGGAUUUUCCACUCCGGUAUUGAAGUUCAUGGUAAAGAGUAUGGGUUUGGGGCACAUGAUUUUCCAAUUAGUGGAGUUUUUGAAGUAGAGCCAAAGAGCUGCCCUGGUUUUAUAUACAGAUGUUCCAUCGCAUUGGGAUGCAUACACAUGCCUUUCUCUGAAUUCAGAGCAUUGAUCGAGAGUGUAGCUUCUGCGUACCAUGGAGAUACCUACCACCUCAUCUCCAAGAACUGUAACCACUUCACAGAUGACAGUGCAUAGAUUGACUGCCAAACAUAUCCCCGGAUGGGUAAACCGGCUGGCUCGGAUAGGUUUGUUGAUCCUUCCAAUCGUUUAUCAAAUUCUGUGUAUGCAUAUAUAUAUAUAUGUGUCUCUAUCUUUCUUCUUCAAAUUGUCCAUGACAUUUGAUGAUAUCAAUGGUUUACUCUUCCUUACAUUAUGUCAUACUGUUAGAUUUUGUAUGGGGGUAUCCCUCAAGGAAUUGACAUAUGUGUAGCUACUUUGUUUGAUACGUUUGAAGUUUGAACAAAGCUGGUCCUUGAGCCCAUUGGGAGUGGCAAACAACCCCUAAGCCAAGCCUAUAUUAUUGUUAUAUAGUAUACUUUUCGAGUUUUCGUCAUCCUAUUUGGCAUUUUCCACUAAAAUGAUAAAAAAGAAGGAAAAUCAUUAAGUUUAUGAUUUGCCAAAAAGGUAGGUUAUUUAUGCAGCUGUCUGCUUCCCGAAAGCCUUCAAGUAACCAAAGUGAGGCAGUUGCCUGAAUUCCACGAAAUUGAAGAAGAAAUUGAAACUGUCUCAAUAGCCUGGCCCCGCGACUCAACAGAAAUCAACGAUACAGAUCCGGAGAAGCAAUUGCUCUCACCAAAAGAGGGACCUUCGGAUAUAUCUUUUAUUAAAGAAGCUCUAACGUGCGACCGCAAAG
Molecule: long non-coding RNA, 1261 nt
Organism: Hibiscus syriacus
Lineage: Eukaryota; Viridiplantae; Streptophyta; Magnoliopsida; Malvales; Malvaceae
Exons: 3
Source: RefSeq, a predicted model, not a curated record